This 460-nucleotide ribosomal RNA is filed under the name uncultured bacterium. Its description in RNAcentral is "partial 16S ribosomal RNA". It matches the Rfam family "Bacterial small subunit ribosomal RNA", at positions 338 to 795 of the family's 1533-position model. The record is from RNAcentral.
CCUACGGGAGACAGCAGUGAGGAAUAUUGGUCAAUGGGCGGAAGCCUGAACCAGCCAAGUCGCGUGAGGGAUUAAGGCCCUGCGGGUCGUAAACUUCUUUUGCCGGGGAGCAGAUGUCCGGACGUGUGCGGGCCGGGAGUGUCCCCGGCGAAAAAGCAGCGGCAAACUCCGUCCCAGGAGCCGCGGUAAUACGGAGGUUGCGAGCGUUAUCUGGAUUGAUUGGGUUUAAGGGGUGCGUAGGCGGGCUAUUAACCAGGCGGUAAAAUGUCGGGGCUAAACCCCGGCCUGCCGUUGAAACUGGGUGCCUUGAGUGGGCUAGAGGUAUGCGGAAUGCGUGGUGUAGCGGUGAAAUGCAUAGAUAUCACGAAGAACCCCGAUUGCGAAGGCAGCAUACCGGCGCCCUACUGACGCUGAGGCACGAAAGUGUGGGUAUCGAACAGGAUUAGAUACCCCAGUAGUC